AUGCACAAACUUUCUCUAUCGUUUGCUCUGCUCACUUACGGUGGCUAUUGGAGGCCAACAAAAUGGCCGGCUUCCUCGUACAAAUAUCAGUUGUACAACAUUUACUCGGCAUUCAUGAUUUUCCUCUUAUAUUUCAUCACGUUCUGUACUUGCGUGGAUUCAUUGAUCAGCAAAAACUUGAAGACGAUGAGCGAAAAAUUUUCCCUCUGCAUCUCGGUCUUAGGUGUUUCUCUCAAAGUGGCCAACUUGUUCCUUCAACGAGGGAAAAUUAUAAAUAUAAUGAACAGUCUGACGAAGGAGAAUUCCACUCCAAGGGACGAACAGGAGAAAAUCAUUCAACGGAGAAACGACAAUUACGCAAGAAAACUGACCAUAUACUGCGAGAUUCUGAACGAAUCGGCAGUGUUCUUCGCGACGGUGGGUCAAUAUAAAACAUUCAUAAAUACCAGGACAUUACCCGUAUCCGAUUGGAUACCGUACGACUUAUCCUCGACAGAAUUGUACACGAUAUCCCUGUUGUACCAAACUGUUGGCCUGUUGAUCUGCGCGAACGCGAGCGUGGGCAACGAGACCCUGAUUGCCGGAUUGAUGAUACAAGCUGGCGUGCAGUUCGAGAUAUUUUGUCAUCGAGCACAAAAUCUGCCCUCCCUGUUGACGGUGACAAGAAACAGCAACGUGUCGAAAAAGGAUCUGAGGAUGAGAUACAAUAAGAUUAUCGGGGAUUUAGUUCGACAUCACCUUGAAAUUCGUCCGAACGGUGAACACCGUGUUCCAGUACAUGAUUUUUCUACAGUUCUCCAUAAGCUCGGUGGUUCUAUGCCUGAGUAUCUAUAAAUUUUCAACGGUAGAUCCGCUGAGCAUGAACUUCGUCUGGAGCGGCUUCUAUUUGUGCUGUAUGCUUAUGCAGGUGUAUUUAUACUGCUGGUUUGGGAACGAGGUGACGUUGAAGAGCAAUAAAGUAAGCGAUGCUAUUUACGAAAUGGAUUGGACGAUACUUCCUUCUAACGUAAUGAAGGAUUUAUUGCUCGUUAUAGCAAGAUCUAAGAAACCGGUGAAAAUAACCAGUGGUCAGAUCUUUACCUUAUCCAC
Molecule: RNA transcript, 1089 nt
Organism: Apis cerana (Asiatic honeybee)
Lineage: Eukaryota; Metazoa; Arthropoda; Insecta; Hymenoptera; Apidae
Source: RefSeq, a predicted model, not a curated record